AGAACGAACGCUGGCGGCAUGCCUAACACAUGCAAGUCGAACGCUCUUGAGGCUUCGGUUUCAAGGGAGUGGCGCACGGGUGAGUAGCGCGUGGGAACCUGCCCUGUUGUGGGGGAUAACCGAGGGAAACUUCGGCUAAUACCGCAUGCGCCCGGGGAAACCCGGGGAAAGAUUUAUCGCAGCAGGAGGGGCCCGCGUCGGAUUAGGUAGUUGGUAGGGUAACGGCCUACCAAGCCUUUGAUCCGUAGUUGGUCUGAGAGGAUGAUCAGCCACACUGGGACUGAGACACGGCCCAGACUCCUACGGGAGGCAGCAGUGGGAAUAUUGGACAAUGGGCGCAAGCCUGAUCCAGCAAUGCCGCGUGAGUGAUGAAGGCCUUAGGGUUGUAAAGCUCUUUCGCCCGCGACGAUGAUGACGGUAGCGGGAGAAGAACGCCCCGGCUAACUCGCGCCAGCAGCCGC
This 461-nucleotide ribosomal RNA is filed under the name uncultured bacterium. Its description in RNAcentral is "SSU rRNA". It matches the Rfam family "Bacterial small subunit ribosomal RNA", at positions 26 to 518 of the family's 1533-position model. The record is from RNAcentral.